GUGAAUCAUCGAAUCUUUGAACGCACCUUGCGCUCCUUGGUAUUCCGAGGAGCAUGCCUGUUUGAGUGUCAUGAAAUCAUCAACCUUACAGCUUUGUUGUUGUAAGGCUUGGACUUGGGAGUUGCUGGUGGUCUAACUAUCGGCUCUUCUUGAAUGCAUUAGCUAAACUUCCGCUGGUUGGCUUACGGUGUGAUAAUUAUCUGCAUCUGACUGCUACUGGCAAUGGAACUAGCUUCUAAUCGUCUUCGGACAAUCACUUAAGAUCUGACCUCAAAUCAGGUAGGACUACCCGCUGAACUUAA
This 302-nucleotide ribosomal RNA is filed under the name uncultured fungus. RNAcentral describes it as "eukaryotic LSU rRNA". The stretch from base 1 to 71 matches the Rfam family "5.8S ribosomal RNA", at positions 84 to 154 of the family's 154-position model. Lineage: Eukaryota; Fungi. The record is from RNAcentral.